AAGAAGUUAGUUAAGUUUUAUAACAUAUAUUUGUCAUAUUUAAAUUAUCUUUUAAGAUACUUCUUA
RNAcentral lists this transfer RNA (66 nucleotides) under Aparapotamon binchuanense. Its description in RNAcentral is "tRNA-Asp". RNAcentral also lists the same sequence under 2 other names. Lineage: Eukaryota; Metazoa; Arthropoda; Malacostraca; Decapoda; Potamidae. The record is from RNAcentral.